This 651-nucleotide ribosomal RNA is filed under the name Triticum aestivum (bread wheat). RNAcentral describes it as "partial small subunit ribosomal RNA". The record is from RNAcentral. Lineage: Eukaryota; Viridiplantae; Streptophyta; Magnoliopsida; Poales; Poaceae.
AUGGCCACCUGCCUCUCUGAUCUUAUUAGUGACUAUUCCCUAGAUUUCCUGGGUCUACAAGAGACCAUGAAAAAAGAUUUCUUCCCUAAAUGCUUGAGGAGAAUUGACCCCUUUAACCUUUUCAAAUGGAACUGGGUUCCUUCUGAGGGCAAGUCUGGAGGUAUCCUGUGUGGAGUUAGACAAGACACUUUGGAGGUGGUCGCCUGUAACAAAGGCAAGUACAUCCUGCAGGUGGUUGUCUUUGAUAAGAAGAAUAAAACUAAUUGGGGGUUGUUGGUAGUUUAUGGCUCUGCACAUGAAGAACAUAAAGAAGAUUUCUUGCUGGAGCUUGCUAAUAUGUGUAAUGGCAUGCAGAUCCCUUAUAUUGUUGGCGGGGAUUUUAACAUUCUCAGGCACCCUGGUGAAAAAAAUAAAAAGAUGACUAGCCAUAAAUCCACGGAUCUGUUUUAUUCUAUUAUCAACACCCUAGCUCUUAGAGAGAUUCAUAUUAAUGGGGGCAAGUAUACUUGGACGAACAAUCAAACACACCCUACAUUGGAAAAGUUGGACCGUGUUUUGAUGUCUGAGGAAUGGGAGGACUUGUUUCCCCUGGUCUCUAUUAGGAAGUUGGUCCGUGAGAUUUCGGAUCAUAAUCCCUUGCUGCUUGCUACU